This 67-nucleotide transfer RNA is filed under the name Nephotettix malayanus. RNAcentral's name for it is "tRNA-Trp". The record is from RNAcentral. Lineage: Eukaryota; Metazoa; Arthropoda; Insecta; Hemiptera; Cicadellidae.
AGGACUUUAAGUUAAAUAAAACUUAUAACCUUCAAAGUUAGAAAUAUCUAAGAAAAGGUAAGUCUUA